Molecule: long non-coding RNA, 205 nt
Filed under: Elaeis guineensis (African oil palm)
Lineage: Eukaryota; Viridiplantae; Streptophyta; Magnoliopsida; Arecales; Arecaceae
Description: long non-coding RNA (EGUI_LNC074796)
Source: RNAcentral
GAUGGGGUAUUACAUGUUUGGUAUCAGAGCAAAAGUUUAUGAUUAUAUGGGGAUUAUGAUAAAACAAGGUUUAUGAUCAUUGGAAAAUCAUGAUAAGCCAAGGUAAAUGAUCAUUUGGGAUUGUGGAAUGGAUAAAAUCGAGACUACAGAUUUGAUCAUUAGGGAAGUGAUGGUAUAGUAUCAGAACUUAAGGGUAUGAUUAUUA